AGGGCACCACCAGGAGUGGAGCCUGCGGCUUAAUUUGACUCAACACGGGAAAACUCACCCGGCCCGGACACUGGAAGGAUUGACAGAUUGAGAGCUCUUUCUUGAUUCAGUGGGUGGUGGUGCAUGGCCGUUCUUAGUUGGUGGAGUGAUUUGUCUGGUUAAUUCCGAUAACGAACGAGACUCUAGCCUACUAAAUAGAUCGUCGGCUUACAAACGCCGGCGAGACUUCUUAGAGGGACAGGCGGCGAUUCAACCGCACGAAACAGAGCAAUAACAGGUCUGUGAUGCCCUUAGAUGUCCGGGGCCGCACGCGCGCUACACUGAAGUGAUCAGCGUGCUUUUUCAACCUACUCUGUCAAGAGUGGGGAACCCAAUGAACCUUCUUCGUGAUUGGGAUAGGGGAUUGUAAUUGUUCCCCUUGAACGAGGAAUUCCCAGUAAGCGCGAGUCAUAAGCUCGCGUUGAUUACGUCCCUGCCCUUUGUACACACCGCCCGUCGCUACUACCGAUUGAAUGUUUU
RNAcentral lists this ribosomal RNA (519 nucleotides) under uncultured eukaryote. Its description in RNAcentral is "SSU rRNA". It matches the Rfam family "Eukaryotic small subunit ribosomal RNA", at positions 1161 to 1699 of the family's 1831-position model. The record is from RNAcentral.